Molecule: ribosomal RNA, 325 nt
Filed under: uncultured eukaryote
Lineage: Eukaryota
Description: partial 18S ribosomal RNA
Rfam family: Eukaryotic small subunit ribosomal RNA
Source: RNAcentral
CCCCUAGAUGUUCUGGGCCGCACGCGCGCUACACUGAACAGUUCAACAAGUCUUAACCUUGGCCGAUAGGUCUGGGUAAUCUUUGAACGCUGUUCGUGAUUGGGAUAGACCUUUGCAAUUAUGGGUCUUCAACGAGGAAUUCCUAGUAAACGCAAGUCAUCAGCUUGCAUUGAUUACGUCCCUGCCCUUUGUACACACCGCCCGCCGCACCUACCGAUUGAAUGGUCCGGUGAAAUUCUCGGACGCGGACUUGCGAUGUUAAUUCGGAGCUUGACUGUGAAAGUUAAUUAAACCUUACCAUUUAGAGGAAGGUGAAGUCGUAACA